CGAGACGUAGCGCAAUCUGGUAGCGCGCACCCUUGGGGUGGGUGAGGUUGCAGGUUCAAAUCCUGUCGUCUCGACCA
Molecule: transfer RNA, 77 nt
Filed under: Cohnella sp. CFH 77786
Lineage: Bacteria; Bacillati; Bacillota; Bacilli; Caryophanales; Paenibacillaceae
Description: tRNA-Pro
Rfam family: tRNA
About the family: Transfer RNA (tRNA) molecules are approximately 80 nucleotides in length.
Source: RNAcentral